AAUAGAUACCCGGGUAGUCCACGCCGUAAACGAUGGAUGCUAGCUGUUAUGCGUAUCGACCCGUGUAGUAGCGAAGCUAACGCGUUAAGCAUCCCGCCGUGGGGAGUACGAACGCAAGUUUAAAACUCAAAGGAAUUGACGGGGACCCGCACAAGCGGUGGAGCGUGUUCUUUAAUUCGAGGCUAAGCGAAGAACCUUACCAGGGCUUGACAUCCUUGGAAUUUCUCCGAAAGGAGAGAGUACUUUAUUGGACCAAGUGACAGGUGCUGCAUGGCCGUCGUCAGCUCGUGUCGUGAGGUGUUUGGUUAAGUCCAUUAACGAGCGCAACCCUUAUGAAUAGUUGUAUUUUUCUAUUCAGACUGCCCGGUAACGGGGAGGAAGGGGGGAUGAUGUCAGGUCAGUAUUGCCCUUACGCCCUGGGCUAGAAACGCGCUACAAUGGCCGGUACAAUGCGCUGCCAACCCGCGAGGGGGAGCAAAUCGCAUCAAAGCCGGUCCCAGUUCGGGAUAAGAGGCUGAAAACUCGCCUCUUUGAAGCCGGAAUCGCUAGUAAUCGUAGGUC
RNAcentral lists this ribosomal RNA (561 nucleotides) under uncultured bacterium. RNAcentral's name for it is "bacterial SSU rRNA". It matches the Rfam family "Bacterial small subunit ribosomal RNA", at positions 777 to 1350 of the family's 1533-position model. The record is from RNAcentral.